CAAUAGCGUAUAUUAAAGUUGUUGCGGUUAAAAAGCUCGUAGUUGGAUUUCUGCUGAGGACGACCGGUCCGCCCUCUGGGUGAGUAUCUGGCUCGGCCUUGGCAUCUUCUUGGGGAACGUAACUGCACUUGACUGUGUGGUGCGGUAUCCAGGACUUUUACUUUGAGGAAAUUAGAGUGUUUCAAGCAGGCGCACGCCUUGAAUACAUUAGCAUGGAAUAAUAAGAUAGGACCUUGGUUCUAUUUUGUUGGUUUCUAGAGCUGAGGUAAUGAUUAAUAGGGAUAGUUGGGGGCAUUCGUAUUUAACUAUCAGAGGUGAAAUUCUUGGAUUUGUUAAAGACGGACUACUGCGAAAGCAUUUGCCAAGGAUGUUUUCAUUGA
This 380-nucleotide ribosomal RNA is filed under the name uncultured eukaryote. RNAcentral describes it as "partial 18S ribosomal RNA". It matches the Rfam family "Eukaryotic small subunit ribosomal RNA", at positions 592 to 976 of the family's 1831-position model. The record is from RNAcentral.